Long non-coding RNA from Cyprinus carpio (common carp), 353 nucleotides. NCBI's taxonomy places the organism in Eukaryota, Metazoa, Chordata, Actinopteri, Cypriniformes, Cyprinidae. The record is from Ensembl.
AUGAUUCUGGAGUGGAUCCACACUGGGAGGAUGAACUUGGAAGACUUCAUGUCACAGAUGAAGGACUUUACCAGAGGGCUCUUUAUGCAUUUCAGACUGUCAUUAAAAGGGGCAUUCCUGUGGCUACUGUCAUUGGAGGAGGUUAUUCCAGAGAUAUUGAUCGACUGGCGCGCAGGCACUCAAUAAUUCAGAGCUGCAUCAAAGGUUUGGAGAGAACAUGGAGUUUAACUCCAAGAUGAAAAUGGACAGCAGUUGCUAAACAAUCUAAGACUGGUGGGACCUUAUGAAUGCUCCGCAGUGCCAUAGCCAUUGUAUGCAAUAGAUUUUAUGAAUAAAAAUGCCAUAUUUAUUCA